Molecule: long non-coding RNA, 267 nt
Filed under: Helianthus annuus (common sunflower)
Lineage: Eukaryota; Viridiplantae; Streptophyta; Magnoliopsida; Asterales; Asteraceae
Description: sRNA HanXRQr2_Chr17g0828861
Source: RNAcentral
GAAGAAGUCUUUCAUAUGCAUCCGGAAUCUCCUUAGCGUACCUGUUUCGAUAAUAAAACUCAAAAUUUAGCUUCACUCUCAUUUCUCCAAGUUAUUAAGAAACUGAGGGGGUGUUUGGCAACAUCUGAAUGAUUAAGUGCUGAACCAGUAAGAGGUCUGAACCAUUAACAGCCUGUAUAAUGCUUAACCGUUCAGAGGCAAAUGUCUGACCAGUCUGAACCAUUAAGAGCAUGUAUAAUGCUUAACCGUUCAGAGGCAAAUGUCUGA